CCAGGUGAUGGCUUGGAAUUUCAGAGUUCUAAAAUGAACCUAAAAAGUUACUUCAGCAUCCUUAGAAAUAAGUUGUUAAGGCAUGAACAUUUGAGUUCAUCCAAAGUGUUAUCAAAAGGUCUCAUCAAAUUAUUUUAUGUAGAAGAGCACCCAAAUGUUAUUUCUUGCUGUUCCUCUUCUUUUCCUCAAGAGAAAGAAGGUUGAAAACUGAAAAUGAUGAAGUUGAAGAAUGAAGUCAAUGAGUGUUAAGAAGAGAUUCAUUUAUCCUUGAACAGAAAUGAAAAAGUAGAGUGCUGGUGGUGAUCAUGUCUUCCCUUCACCCAUGGGGACUUUUCAUUUAUCGCUGCCACUCCAGCAUGUUCACUAUUCUCUGUAGCAUGAAAAUCUGAUAAAGCUCAUGAGGGGAGAGAAAACUUAACUUCAAUAUUUUCCUGCUGAGCCUGAGAGUGCUUUGUAUACCCUAGCAAGAUGAAAAUCUUAGCUGCAGCAUCAGGAAGAGGACACCUCACUUUAUCCUACAUUCCUAUCUCAGUCAGGAAAGUAGCUCUAGAGAAGGAACUAAGAAGUCAAGGCCUUUUGUGAAGUUGCUCUGUUAUCUCUGUGGCCCCAAAGACCAAAAUGAUGGAGAAAAUGAAACCAGGAUGAUUUCUGACAUCUGCUUCCACUCCACCUUCUUUAACCACUUCAUCCACAUCUCUCUUAGCUUCUCACAUAAGUCUCACCUGGAAUCAUCUUAUUUACACCAAUAAAUUUACCUACCACCUGCCUGUUGAUUGCCAAA
Molecule: long non-coding RNA, 781 nt
Filed under: Homo sapiens (human)
Lineage: Eukaryota; Metazoa; Chordata; Mammalia; Primates; Hominidae
Description: HSALNT0369323
Source: RNAcentral